Patella vulgata (common limpet) is the source of this 903-nucleotide long non-coding RNA. RefSeq lists it as uncharacterized. The transcript has 8 exons. The record is from RefSeq and is a predicted model, not a curated record. NCBI's taxonomy places the organism in Eukaryota, Metazoa, Mollusca, Gastropoda, Patellidae.
UAUUUAAAAGAAAUUGAAGUGAUAUUUCAUCAGUUUGUUCAAUUUUAUACCAUGAUGAAAGUUGUGUCAGCGCUCAUUGUUCUGGUUGUAUCAGUCAGUGUGACCCAAGGACUUUUCUUCGGAAAUUCCAAAAAAUGGGAUGGUUUGAAAGUGACUUGGGGCGUCAAUCCUCUAAAUUCACAAUACUUUUCAACGUUACCAAGAACAGUUGCCGACGCUACAAAAGCAGGAUUCAUUAAAAUAUCUACUGAUUGUUCUAACAAUGGUAAAUUUAAUGGUAACAGAUACAUUAAAGGAGGAGAUUAUGCUGUUGUUCUGUUAUUUGAUAAUCAAGGCUACAUAGCUGGCCAACAAGCCGGUUUGCCAACAAACUCUAACUACCCUUCUCGUAACAUUCAACCUCCGUUUGUAGCUGAUGGCAACCAUUACUUUAUGACUGCCUAUUAUGUAAAUCCGUCAACUAUCUGUUCUAAGGGAAGGUCAAGUGCAAUGUUCAGCACUCAAGGUACAGGUACCGAUCUUUACAUCCAAAAUGGAACAAACCCUUCUACGACCAUAAAGAUUCCAAGUAAGCAGUCAGAUAUGGGACACACGAGAUGGGUUAAGGGAAAAUGUUUCCCUACUAUGGGCGUUCACUAUUGGUAUGAAUUGAGCAAAAAUACAGACUGCCAGAGAAUGUUCCCAGUUUUCUUAUUGUACAAUAACGGCCAUUUGAAUGCAUUUGGUUGGGCUUUUAAUACCGACCAAAGUUCACCCAGAUAUGAACAUCCUACAAAAAAUGUCUUUACUGCAUUUAUGGAAGAGGUGCCAACAUGUUUGGCGUCAGUUGGAACUAUUUCUACUAUGCAUAUAUACCUGACUAGUAACCCCGUUGGUGAUAUCUGUUAGAUAUAUUAAACUUUU